UGGGGAAUCUUGCGCAAUGGGCGAAAGCCUGACGCAGCAACGCCGCGUGGAGGAAGAAGGCCUUCGGGUUGUAAACUCCUGUCAGGGGGAAAGAAGGCACCUGGGUGAAUAGCCCAAGGGCUGACGGUACCCCCAGAGGAAGCCACGGCUAACUACGUGCCAGCAGCCGCGGUAAUACGUAGGUGGCGAGCGUUGUCCGGAAUUAUUGGGCGUAAAGAGCGCGUAGGCGGCUUGCCAGGUCCGACGUGAAACCCCGGGGCUCAACUCCGGACGUGCAUCGGAAACCGGCUUGCUAGAGUCUGGGAGAGGGGAGUGGAAUUCCUGGUGUAGCGGUGAAAUGCGCAGAUAUCAGGAGGAACACCGGUAGCGAAGGCUGCUCCCUGGAACAGUACUGACGCUGAGGCGCGAAAGCUAGGGGAGCGAACA
This 426-nucleotide ribosomal RNA is filed under the name uncultured prokaryote. RNAcentral describes it as "bacterial SSU rRNA". It matches the Rfam family "Bacterial small subunit ribosomal RNA", at positions 355 to 774 of the family's 1533-position model. The record is from RNAcentral.